Molecule: transfer RNA, 73 nt
Filed under: Myotis lucifugus (little brown bat)
Lineage: Eukaryota; Metazoa; Chordata; Mammalia; Chiroptera; Vespertilionidae
Rfam family: tRNA
About the family: Transfer RNA (tRNA) molecules are approximately 80 nucleotides in length. Their secondary structure includes four short double-helical elements and three loops (D, anti-codon, and T loops).
Source: Rfam by way of RNAcentral
GCUGGUGUGGCUCAGUGGGUAGAGCGUCAGCCUUCAGACUGAAGGGUCCCAGGUUCGAUUCCCGGUCAGGGCA